This 497-nucleotide ribosomal RNA is filed under the name uncultured bacterium. Its description in RNAcentral is "partial 16S ribosomal RNA". It matches the Rfam family "Bacterial small subunit ribosomal RNA", at positions 28 to 507 of the family's 1533-position model. The record is from RNAcentral.
GAUGAACGCUGGCGGCGUGCCUAAUACAUGCAAGUCGAGCGAACAGACGAGGAGCUUGCUCCUCUGACGUUAGCGGCGGACGGGUGAGUAACACGUGGAUAACCUACCUAUAAGACUGGGAUAACUUCGGGAAACCGGAGCUAAUACCGGAUAAUAUAUUGAACCGCAUGGUUCAAUAGUUAAAUACGGUUUUGCUGUCCCUUAUAGAUGGAUCCGCGCCGCAGUGGCUAGUUGGUAAGGUAACGGCUUUCCAAGGUAACGAUGCGUAGACGACGUGUGAGAGUGAUCGUGCACGCUAGAACUGAGACAACGGCAGGACUGCUACGGGAGGGUACAGUAGCGGAUCUUCCGCAAUAGGCGGAAGCCUGACGGAAUGAGGCCGCGCGUGGGAUGGAGGUUGGCGGUUCGGAAAACUCUGUUAAUAGGGAAGAACAAAUGUCGAAGUAGCUAUGCACGUCUUGACGGUACCUAAUCAGAAAGCAACGGCUAACUACGGG